RNAcentral lists this ribosomal RNA (460 nucleotides) under uncultured bacterium. RNAcentral describes it as "partial 16S ribosomal RNA". It matches the Rfam family "Bacterial small subunit ribosomal RNA", at positions 338 to 795 of the family's 1533-position model. The record is from RNAcentral.
CCUACGGGAGGCAGCAGUGAGGAAUAUUGGUCAAUGGGCGCUAGCCUGAACCAGCCAAGUAGCGUGAAGGAUGACUGCCCUAUGGGUUGUAAACUUCUUUUAUAUGGGAAUAAAGUGCAGUAUGUAUACUGCUUUGCAUGUACCUUAUGAAUACGGAUCGGCUAACUCCGUGCCAGCAGCCGCGGUAAUACGGCGGAUCCGAGCGUUAUCCGGAUUUAUUGGGUUUAAAGGGGGCGUAGGCGGGUUGUUAAGUCAGUUGUGAAAGCUUGCGGCUCAACCGUAAAAUUGCAGUUGAUACUGGCAUCCGCGAGUACAGUAGAGGUAGGCGGAAUUCGUGGUGUAGCGGUGAAAUGCUUAGAUAUCACGAAGAACUCCGAUUGCGAAGGCAGCCUGCUGGACUGUAACUGACGCUGAUGCUCGAAAGUGUGGGUAGCAAACAGGAUUAGAUACCCUUGUAGUC